CAUGCAUGUCUUAGAAGUAUAAUAGGAGGCGAUCCAUAAAUCUGCGAACGGCUCCGUAUAUCUGUUAUCACCCACGGCCACUAAAAAGAUCUCGGAUACCCACGGUAAUUCUGAGGCUAAUACGUAUACGUAGCUUGGGCCUCCAGGACAGGGCGCCCUCCGCAAGGGGGGCGCCUGGGCUAGUCGCUUGUUGCCAGGGGGUCCCGCAAGGGGUCCGCUGUCAUGAUGGCAGGCUAGUGCACCACACUGCGGGGGCGAUAUGUCCCGUAGGGUGCGCCAAGGGAGCCAGCCCUAUUAACUAGGUGUCCGGGUAAGGCCCGGCCGCGGUGAUAACGGGUACAGAGGAUCAGGGUUCGGUCCUGGAGAGGAAGCCUGAGAGAUCGCUUCUACUUCUAAGGAAGGCAGCAGGCGCGCAACGUUCCCAAUGGGGAUACCCUGAGGACGUGAGGGGAUAUAGCAAUGCCCCGCCCAUAAAGCGGGGCAAUUGCAAUGGGGGUCCACUAAACCCUCCACCGAGUAACAAUUGGAG
This 529-nucleotide ribosomal RNA is filed under the name Trichia varia. Its description in RNAcentral is "SSU rRNA". It matches the Rfam family "Eukaryotic small subunit ribosomal RNA", at positions 50 to 553 of the family's 1831-position model. Lineage: Eukaryota; Evosea; Eumycetozoa; Trichiida; Trichiidae. The record is from RNAcentral.